RNAcentral lists this long non-coding RNA (431 nucleotides) under Musa acuminata (dwarf banana). Its description in RNAcentral is "long non-coding RNA (MACU_LNC004245)". The record is from RNAcentral. Lineage: Eukaryota; Viridiplantae; Streptophyta; Magnoliopsida; Zingiberales; Musaceae.
ACAGCUUCUCAGGAUCGAAGGGGCCAGAGAUCGUCACCGUCCCGUUCUUCUCAUCAUAGGCUAUGGUCUUGAUGUUCUCCUUUUCUUGAGCAACCAACACAAACACAGAGAUAAAGAUCCACAUUUACGUCAAAUUUUCUCCCUUGUAAGUGACAUCAAGGAAUGAUCAUGAUGUUUCUAACCUUGGAUCUUGCAUAGAGUCUUCCUGAUCUUUUUGUAACAGAUGUGGCAGUCAAGGUCAACCUUCAAGAUCAAUGUCGAGAUCUGCAACAAGAUUGUGUAAGUACACAAAAGACCAACCCUGCUGUGGAAAUAUGCCACCAAAGGAGAGCACCAAAUGAUGACCACAAAUCACGAGACAUACUGUAACAUACAAGGCGGAGGUGAAGGAGAAGAAGAGCUACAGUGGACUGACAAGAAUUGCCUACCUU